CUUUCAACAACGGAUCUCUAGGCUCUUGCAUCGAUGAAGAACGCAGCAAAAUGCGAUACGUAAUGCGAAUUGCAGAUUCUCGUGAGUCAUUGAAUUUUUGAACGCAUAUUGCGCCUUAUGGUAUUCCAUAAGGCAUGCCUGUCUGAGCGUCA
Molecule: ribosomal RNA, 152 nt
Filed under: Peziza cf. badioconfusa RH52806
Lineage: Eukaryota; Fungi; Ascomycota; Pezizomycetes; Pezizales; Pezizaceae
Description: 5.8S ribosomal RNA
Rfam family: 5.8S ribosomal RNA
About the family: 5.8S ribosomal RNA (5.8S rRNA) is a component of the large subunit of the eukaryotic ribosome. It is transcribed by RNA polymerase I as part of the 45S precursor that also contains 18S and 28S rRNA. Functionally, it is thought that 5.8S rRNA may be involved in ribosome translocation.
Source: RNAcentral